Molecule: long non-coding RNA, 554 nt
Filed under: Mytilus galloprovincialis (Mediterranean mussel)
Lineage: Eukaryota; Metazoa; Mollusca; Bivalvia; Mytilida; Mytilidae
Source: RNAcentral
AAUCACUGUGUGGGUUUUUUAAAAGUUGAAAUAUUUCUUGACUGAAUAUCUAGUUCACAUUGAUUUUCUAGAAAUGACCGGAAAAUUGUAAAUCUAUUAAUAUGUACACAAAACAAAGGAAAUUUAAACGUUAAAAUAGGUAAUUCUCCGAAAUGAUUAACCGGGAAGUAGUAUUACACUUCGGAGAAUCGAUCAAUGGAACGGGUUGGGUGUCAUUUUGUUUAGGACAGGAGAUGACAGAGGUUUAUAUGGACGCGGGAUUUCAAUUGGACAUUACCGAGGAUAAGAAGCGGAAUGCCCCUUGAAAUCCUGUAUUUGUAUGAGCGCUACAUCAGGUAAUAAAUAUUCAUGAAAAUCGGAUAUAGAAGGACAUUUGUACAACGCUUGGUUUUCUUGACCUCCAGACACCGUAUCUACAUAACUAUUUUAAGUAAGGAGACAACGUUGCUAAAAAUUUCAUUCUAUUUUUUUAUGAUGUAUUAUUUUUUUUUAAUUUCUUUGAUGUUUAUUCUUUUAAUUCAAAUUUUAUAUUGUUGAAAAAACGAAUGAAGACA